This 362-nucleotide long non-coding RNA is filed under the name Salmo trutta (river trout). Its description in RNAcentral is "lncRNA (ENSSTUG00000049785.1)". The record is from RNAcentral. Lineage: Eukaryota; Metazoa; Chordata; Actinopteri; Salmoniformes; Salmonidae.
UCGAGAGCGGAUUGGUCGAACGUCACGCUGCUCUGUUCUCAGGCUUUCUGAAUGGGGAGACGGGCCAAUUAAACAUUGCAAGCUACCCUACCCAAACGCUUGAGACGUGAAGAAACAUCGAUGAACUGCUCGUAUUUUAAAGGAAUGCAAGCAUCCUUCCUUCAACGAGUUCAAGUGUAAUGUGGUUAGUCGCGCGCCAGCAUCUAGGACCCGAUUCAGCAAUAGAGGCACGGGCUCCACCAAAAGGUAUUUUCCGGGAAUCAGGAAGAGGAGAAUACACAGACAUUAAACAGUGUCGACAAGACCUUCUCCAGGACCAGAAGUCUAUGCAAACAGGAUGGAAGGAUUCCUCGUAUCUCUGA